GGCGUCGGUGGCCGAGUGGUUUAGGGCGCUGGAUUUGAAAUCUGGAGGUCCGCUCUCGGUAGUCCCGAGUUCAACUCCUCGGCCACGCUU
This is a non-coding RNA of Desmophyllum pertusum, 90 nucleotides long. Lineage: Eukaryota; Metazoa; Cnidaria; Anthozoa; Scleractinia; Caryophylliidae. The record is from the annotation of a GenBank genome assembly.